GGUUUAGAUGCUAAGAGGUAUAUUUUGUAUUUGGGCACUUUGAAAUAUACUGAGCUAGUAGUGCAACCGGCUAAAUA
Molecule: non-coding RNA, 77 nt
Filed under: Paraclostridium bifermentans
Lineage: Bacteria; Bacillati; Bacillota; Clostridia; Peptostreptococcales; Peptostreptococcaceae
Description: Cyclic di-GMP-II riboswitch
Rfam family: Cyclic di-GMP-II riboswitch aptamer
Source: RNAcentral